UACUGGCAGGAUCAACCAGGUAGCAUUCCUCAUCGACGCCGCACGGGCACGGUCGCGAGCCAAGCAGGCUCCCGACCGAGACCCGCACGGCCGUCGCCCGCAGCAAAGCGUGGAAACGCUCUUUUUUUUUUCGGGGGGCAUCCGAGGCCGAGGCCUCGAGGCCGCUCAAUUUUCCGCAUCCGAGGCAUCUAGCACAUCGCCGUGCGUCGCCGAGCUCGGCACCCGACGAGGUGCGAGGGCGGCGAGCACGACGGGCGCUUCUUGGUCCGCCCCGCGCAGCAUUUCCUUUCGGAGCCGCCGAACGGGACGGAAGCGGGACAACCCAUCCGACAAUUUUCCGCACCGACAGGAAACCAACCCACGGGACCCGACAUCGGCCCAAUGCAUGGGCACGGCAGCCAAGCACCGAAGGGUGGGGGGGCGCGCGCUGGGAGUGCCGUCGCUGCCCG
This 449-nucleotide unclassified non-coding RNA is filed under the name Caryopteris tangutica. Its description in RNAcentral is "partial contains external transcribed spacer and 18S ribosomal RNA". The record is from RNAcentral. Lineage: Eukaryota; Viridiplantae; Streptophyta; Magnoliopsida; Lamiales; Lamiaceae.